This 462-nucleotide ribosomal RNA is filed under the name uncultured bacterium. Its description in RNAcentral is "partial 16S ribosomal RNA". It matches the Rfam family "Bacterial small subunit ribosomal RNA", at positions 28 to 507 of the family's 1533-position model. The record is from RNAcentral.
GAUGAACGCUGACAGAAUGCUUAACACAUGCAAGUCUUUGGCGAAGCUGUGCUUGUACAGCCUAGCCAAGGCGGACGGGUGAGUAACGCGUAAGGAACUUGCCCUGCAGUCAGGGAUAACAGACGGAAACGACUGAUAAGACCUGGUAAAGUCAGGCGGACUCAUGUCCAGCCUGAUGAAAAGAGAUGCUGCAGGAGAGCCUUGCGUCCUAUUAGCUUGUUGGUGGGGUAACGGCCCACCAAGGCGAUGAUAGGUAGCCGGCCUGAGAGGGUGGACGGCCACAAGGGGACUGAGAUACGGCCCUUACUCCUACGGGAGGCAGCAGUGGGGAAUAUUGGACAAUGGGGGCAACCCUGAUCCAGCAAUUCUGUGUGCACGAUGAAGGUUUUCGGAUUGUAAAGUGCUUUCAGCAGGGAAGAAAAAAUGACGGUACCUGCAGAAGAGGCGACGGCUAAAUACGUG